This is a non-coding RNA of Mus caroli (Ryukyu mouse), 712 nucleotides long. The record is from RefSeq and is a predicted model, not a curated record. NCBI's taxonomy places the organism in Eukaryota, Metazoa, Chordata, Mammalia, Rodentia, Muridae.
CGGUAGGAGGCAGCAGGGCCGCGGGCCCGGGCCGGUGACUGCGGCGCCCCUACGAUGGACGCCCUAGAAGAAGAGAGCUUCGCGCUGUCCUUCUCCUCUGCCUCUGAUGCAGAAUUUGAUGCUGUGGUUGGAUGUUUAGAGGACAUUAUUAUGGAUGAUGAGUUCCAGUUAUUGCAGAGAAACUUCAUGGAGAAGUACUACCAGGAAUUUGAAGACACAGAAGAGAAUAAACUCACCUAUACACCCAUUUUUAAUGAAUAUAUCUCCCUGGUAGAGAAGUACAUUGAAGAACAGUUGCUGGAGCGUAUCCCAGGCUUCAACAUGGCGGCCUUCACAACCACACUGCAGCACCACAAAGAUGAGGUGGCUGGUGACAUCUUUGACAUGCUGCUCACAUUCACGGAUUUUCUGGCUUUCAAGGAGAUGUUCCUGGACUACAGAGCAGAAAAGGAAGGCCGAGGACUGGACUUAAGCAGUGGUUUGGUUGUGACUUCUCUGUGUAAGUCAUCUUCUACGCCAGCUUCCCAGAACAACCUGCGGCACUAGGUCCCACCUUCACACAACCGGUGUGAUUGACAUGAGUUCACCAGACCAGCAGGCUCCGAGAAACAUGGGCUAAUGAUGACAGGUGUAUCCUGCAAAGACCCACUGUGCCACAGCCCUUUGUUCAUGUGAAGUAUUGAUGAGUCCUGGAAAAUACGACUGACCUUGC